UAAGAAAAGCCUUUCUUUCGUUCUUUUUAUUCUCUCUCUCUUUGUUUAGCCUUUUCAAAUUUCUAAUCUUUAUUUGGUUCUUUUAUGAUGUCAAUGGGUUUUCAUUCUUUCAACGAUUUGUUCCGUUUUCAAAAUGGCGAUUGUUCAGAUUAUAAUGAUUGAUUGGAGAACUAUGUGAUGAAUAUGGCAAUGUUUUUCUUGAAUUUGAUGGAUGAGGAGAUGAGGUUUCUUAUUUGUCUAAAAAUUUACGCUGUUCUGGAUUUGGUCUCUUUUUGGUGUUUUUCGUUGAAAGCUCGACCAUUUUUUUUUACCUUGAAUGCUUUGCACAGUGGGUGCCAAUGAUGUUAAACUUUGUGAAAUUA
Molecule: unclassified non-coding RNA, 362 nt
Filed under: Hevea brasiliensis (rubber tree)
Lineage: Eukaryota; Viridiplantae; Streptophyta; Magnoliopsida; Malpighiales; Euphorbiaceae
Source: RNAcentral